This 774-nucleotide ribosomal RNA is filed under the name uncultured Neocallimastigales. RNAcentral describes it as "partial large subunit ribosomal RNA". It matches the Rfam family "Eukaryotic large subunit ribosomal RNA", at positions 23 to 647 of the family's 3401-position model. Lineage: Eukaryota; Fungi; Neocallimastigomycota; Neocallimastigomycetes; Neocallimastigales. The record is from RNAcentral.
AGAGAGAGACAUGCGUGCAUAUCAAUAAGCGGAGGAAAAGAAACUAACAAGGAUUCCCCUAGUAACGGCGAGUGAAGCGGGAAGAGCUCAAAUUUGAAAUCUUAAAGGGUUUCCCUUUACGAAUUGUAGUUUAAAGAAGUGUUUUCUGUUGAGGUUUUGGUAAAAGUUCUUUGGAAUAGGACAUCAUAGAGGGUGAGAAUCCCGUAUUUGACCUUUACUUUCAACUUUGUGAUACACUUUCAAAGAGUCGGAUUGUUUGGGAAUGCAGUCCAAAAUGGGUGGUAAAUUUCAUCUAAAGCUAAAUAUUGGCGAGAGACCGAUAGCGAACAAGUACCGUGAGGGAAAGAUGAAAAGAACUUUGAAAAGAGAGUUAAACAGUACGUGAAAUUGUCAAAAGGGAAGCGUUUGACACCAGUGUUGUUUUUCUGAAAAUCAAUUAAAGAACUGUUUAUGCUAAGUUGUUUAGACUUUAUCAGCUAACUGUUUAGUUUUGAGCUUUUCUUUAAUGCACUUUUCAGUUAACAAGUCAACAUCAAUUUCUUUUGCUGUAAAAAAGCUUGAGGAAGGUGGCUUGAGAUUCGUCUUAAGUGUUUAUAGCCUCUUGCCUAUGCAGUCGGAGAGAUUGAGGUCUGCAGCGUAGAUCCUUCGGGGCUAAAUGCAUUUGUGCUAAGUUAUAGCAUUCUAUAGACAACUUGUUGACUAUGAUUUGUCUUGUAGCUUACUCGCUUAUGUUAUUUUACCUACGCUUAGGAUGUUGACGCAUGAGAUAUACGC